UACGAAGGGGGCUAGCGUUGCUCGGAAUCACUGGGCGUAAAGCGCACGUAGGCGGAUCUUUAAGUCAGGGGUGAAAUCCUGGAGCUCAACUCCAGAACUGCCUUUGAUACUGGGGAUCUCGAGUCCGGAAGAGGUGAGUGGAACUCCGAGUGUAGAGGUGAAAUUCGUAGAUAUUCGGAAGAACACCAGUGGCGAAGGCGGCUCACUGGUCCGGUACUGACGCUGGGGUGCGAAAGCGUGGGGAGCAAACAGG
RNAcentral lists this ribosomal RNA (253 nucleotides) under uncultured bacterium. RNAcentral's name for it is "partial 16S ribosomal RNA". It matches the Rfam family "Bacterial small subunit ribosomal RNA", at positions 524 to 776 of the family's 1533-position model. The record is from RNAcentral.